This 392-nucleotide ribosomal RNA is filed under the name uncultured Mitsuokella sp. Its description in RNAcentral is "bacterial SSU rRNA". It matches the Rfam family "Bacterial small subunit ribosomal RNA", at positions 355 to 762 of the family's 1533-position model. The record is from RNAcentral. Lineage: Bacteria; Bacillati; Bacillota; Negativicutes; Selenomonadales; Selenomonadaceae.
UGGGGAAUAUUGCACAAUGGGCGCAAGCCUGAUGCAGCAACGCCGCGUGAGGGAAGACGGUCUUCGGAUUGUAAACCUUUGUCUUUGGUGAAGAAGAAAGUGACGGUAGCCAAGGAGGAAGCCACGGCUAACUACGUGCCAGCAGCCGCGGUAAUACGUAGGUGGCAAGCGUUGUCCGGAAUUACUGGGUGUAAAGGGAGCGCAGGCGGGAAGGUAAGUCUAUCUUAAAAGUGCGGGGCUCAACCCCGUGAGGGGAUGGAAACUAUCUUUCUUGAGUGCAGGAGAGGAAAGCGGAAUUCCUAGUGUAGCGGUGAAAUGCGUAGAUAUUAGGAGGAACACCAGUGGCGAAGGCGGCUUUCUGGACUGUAACUGACGCUGAGGCUCGAAAGCGU